Molecule: long non-coding RNA, 875 nt
Filed under: Phascolarctos cinereus (koala)
Lineage: Eukaryota; Metazoa; Chordata; Mammalia; Diprotodontia; Phascolarctidae
Description: lncRNA (ENSPCIG00000021376.2)
Source: RNAcentral
CUGCUGUUGACUCACAUCCUUGUUUUUCUCACGUUUCAGUGUUUACUUUUAGACAAUUAGAACAGGGCGGAUGGGCGACUCUUCCCGAGGCACCCAGGAAGUCACAGCGUCUCCAGAGCCAGGGGUAAGAACCAGGAUUCUCUUAAGGAGUCUCUUGUUACCUAAUUGUGGGCUGGGGAGGUCAGCAAAGUUGGGAAUGAGGGGGCUCCAGCAGCCCUUCCAAUUCUGUCCUGCCCACGCCCCUCUCCACAGGACCAACGUUCCCCACGGGACACCAGAGCUGAAGCUCCAGGACCUCAGAGGCCUUGUUCAACAGAUUUGUGUUGAAGAAAAAAAACUCUCGGUACUGAAUGGCGCUACUUCAGAGCCGUCACUGGAAGUAAAGGUCAUUUCUAACUCCCUUCCCCACCUGUCACCCCUUUUGACCCAAGAAAAAGCUUCCAGGGUCUCUUGCUGAUUUGCUGCUCCUCCCCAAAAUGGGCAUUUGCUGCCAUGCCACAAUGUUGGUCUGCCCAAAAGACGUUUCCCUGGGAACUUUCAGACAUGACCUAUUAGUGGUGUGCACGUGUCUGUCACCUGAGCACUGUCUGCAACACGCUAGAGCGGAACGUAGGACACGCAGAGAGAGAUGACAUGCCCUGAGCUGAGGAUCCUAACUGUGUAAAUGGCACUGAGCAGUAGUUGAGACAUUGUUUCUGCCGGCUAGAGAAAGCCCCUUUUCCCAAUUCUGCCCACCUCGUCUCUAUGUAAGUCCCCAGAAUUCCUCUGCAGAGCCCUGGACACAUGGCGCCCUUCAGGUCUGUCUACUCUAUAAUUAUGCCCUCAACCAAACCAUUCUAGCUAAGCAAAGCUAGCUCCUUAAAAGCAGUCAUCCC